RNAcentral lists this ribosomal RNA (292 nucleotides) under uncultured bacterium. RNAcentral describes it as "partial 16S ribosomal RNA". It matches the Rfam family "Archaeal small subunit ribosomal RNA", at positions 455 to 747 of the family's 1478-position model. The record is from RNAcentral.
GUGCCGCCGCCGCGGUAAUAUCGGCAGCACGAGUGAUGGCCGAUUUUAUUGGGCCUAAAGCGUUCGUAGCCGGCCGGACAAGUCCGUUGGGAAAUCCACGCGCUCAACGCGUGGGCGUCCAGCGGAAACUAUCCGGCUUGGGGCCGGAAGACUCGAGGGGUACGUCCGGGGUAGGAGUGAAAUCCCAUAAUCCCGCACGGACCACCGAUGGCGAAAGCACUUCGAGAAAACGGAUCCGACAGUGAGGGACGAAAGCCAGGGUCUCCAACCGGAUUAGAUACCCGUGUAGUCC